AAGUCGUAACAAGGUUUCCGUAGGUGAACCUGCGGAAGGAUCAUUAACACGUAUCCAAACGUUAAAACCCCCCGCCGUGAACCUUCAUCCUGCUCUUGUAACCCGCGUAGUUCGCAAUCGCUGAUAAAUCAUAGCCCGGAAAGUUGUAGUGAUUCAGAGACCUCUGGCUACGUGCGAACAUUGGAACAGUUACACAUUGGAACAGUUACACUCGGGCAGGAGCUUUGCCAAAGGGUCCCCUUGCCCCCUAAUAACCCCACAGUUUAAUGUGAAGCUCAAUGUAAUACAUUGGGUAAAAAAACCGAACAACUGUUAACAAUGGAUAUCUUGGUUCUC
RNAcentral lists this unclassified non-coding RNA (336 nucleotides) under fungal sp. RNAcentral describes it as "partial internal transcribed spacer region". The stretch from base 1 to 46 matches the Rfam family "Eukaryotic small subunit ribosomal RNA", at positions 1786 to 1831 of the family's 1831-position model. The record is from RNAcentral. Lineage: Eukaryota; Fungi.